UACUACAAACUAAAUGUUCACUUAUUGUAAAACACGACGGGACUUCUGAAGUUGUUGCCGCAGGGCUUCCUGCUGUUGCUGUUGCUGCCGCGCUGUACGGCGGAGGCGGCGGUAGCCUUUAUACGGGGAAGAGGGGAACCUUGGGAUUGGGGAUAGGGGAGCGCGGGGGAGAGGGAGACGGUGAGCGCGGGCUGCGGGGAGCGGCAGUAGCAGCGCCGGUAACAGUAGAGGCCGCAGGCCCUCGUGCGGUUCCUCCAAGCGGUGCCGGCCGAAGCAGGUAAGUCCCCUGGUUGAGUUCGGCCCUGCGGGGAGGGGUUGCGAACGUAGCAGAAGGAGGCAGAGCCGGUAGUGUGGAGCGCAGUGGUAACGGCGACGAAACUCGGUAGGGGAUGGAGGGGCUGGAGCGGCAGCGCGAGCGCCGGCGGCAGUGGUAGCACGGGCUUGGGGGCGCACACGCAUCCACAUCAACGAGGAGGACGCACGGCGAUGAUGACGGACGCGUACGGAGCAGAUGUCAGCACGGGAACGCGGACACAUGCAACACGGACGGCAGAGUACGGAGAACAUCGGGCACGGGAGCGAGCUUGGACCGGCGUAAGGGGACGCUCACGGGACGCGCGCGCACGGACGCGGGGGCGAGGAUAACACACGACGGAACAGCACGGACGACGAAAACGACAACGGCGAUCGACGACGAGGAACCAACUAGGUCUUCGGGUCGGGUGUCGGGGGCUAAGGAGGGGGAGAGGGAAAGGAAGGAGACGGUGGCGGCGGUGGUGGACGCUGGAGGAGCGUCGGCGACGCUGACAGCGGUGGUGGACGUUGGAGGGGCGUUGGCGGUGGUGGCGGGUGUGGGAGGGGUUGCCGGCUGAGAUGGUGGGGAAAAGAGGAGGGGAAUCGAAGAGGAGUGGUAGCCGCUGGAGGGGAGGGGGAGCGUGGUCUAGCUGGUCGUCCGGUCCGUAUCGUCUCACCUCGCCUGCCCGCACGGUCUUGGUCGUAUUGUGCCAGCGCCCGCCUCUCCCGCUCCGACUCAGCGACCGCCGCCGCCCGGGCUAGACCCGCCCGUACUGCCUGCCGGAUGCGCUCGUCGCAUCCCCGCGUCCGUCGGCUGCGGAGAAGUACCUCCCGCAGUGGAGACCGUUCCAGUCCCUGGUUGCGGACAGGAAGAGGCCCUAGGGCUUCAUGGUGAUGUUCCUAGACACCUUCCGAUGACUACCUAAAGUAUGACUAAACACAAAAGGGGAAAGAUAAAGUUCCCCUGACGAGUUCCUUCCCGUACACACAAAGUCUCUAUCUAUACCUUUAACCCGCGACCUGGUUGUCCUCUUCUCCUUCCUCACCUUAGUUGACUACACGUAAUGUAAAGACAGAGAUACCUUGAGUCAAUAUAUGACAAAAUGAAGGUGGAAAGUAAAACCUCUGUACCGAUUGACAAAAGAGGUGAUAAGUUGUAGAACGGUACAAGUAGAACGUCCCCGUUUAAUACAAAGUCACUAUGUUUACUGACUACAACCAAACCCAUAUACACCAGAUCUUCCAGCAGUUCAUCAAUACCGGAGUCUAAAACAAUACCUCGUCAAAACGAAACAAUUCUUUAGCGAAUAAGCGUCUCCGUGACCUUGGUAGUCUCAAACCGAUAGGUUUACAUACUUAGACGUCGUCGUCGUCGUAGGGGGUGAGGGAAAACUGGAAAAAAACUGGAGAACAGGUGGACCAUGAGGUGAGUGAUGACCAAGAACGGAGAAACUGGUAGGUAAUCCCGAUUCGAGCGUUGUGACAUCCCCAAACCUAUUGAAUCUAUUACUCUAAAAUCAAAACCUCCAGCGGGAGUACUCUGGAAAAUAUAACCUCCUAAACUACUAGUGGGGACGAGAAUUCGACUCACGAUAAGGAUCUGACAGUGUAUGUUUCCCAGCGGGUGAUCGAUCGUGGCGUGUCGACGGGGAGUUCUCCGUGCGGUUCCUUAUAGCUGUCCGGAUGCUUCGUGAGUUCUUCUUCGCACCUCUCCCUAUAAACGUUCUUAUGCAGUUCACGGAAGGAGGUACAUCGUUGGUACAACCGGGAAGACGUGAAAACUCCGUUCUAUUUUUUCUUCGAAACGUUCGUUUGGUCGUUUUUUCCUAAGUGAGCUGAUUAUGCCACCUAAACCAACUUUGGCCUAACUCGUGGCCCUACAAAUUCCGGCUCACGCAACGUAGCACGGUUGGCUCACGUAGCAAGGUCCGCUCACGUAGCGGCCGAUUUCGGCUCACGUAGUUCGGUUAAUAACGGCGCACAUGGUUUUAUCUUCUACGUUCGAAACGACUCGUUUCCUUGCUGUUUGUGUUGUUUAACCGACACGAGCUAAAAACACCUACAUCCCCUCGAAUGUACGAUGGGAUACUCAAAGCACGAUUUCUAUAACUACUCGUAGUUCUUGUUUCAUUAUACCGACUUGUGUCAAGUCAAUUGCUACUUGUAGUUCUGGUUCUUUUACGCCGGCUCGUUUCCAUGUGUGGUUACUACUACCCCAGUUCAGAAGCUCGUUCCUAUACCAAUUUUUCACGUAGUUGGUGUUAGAACUUCUGCCUUUAAGGUAGUUUCGAUGUUACCGCUGUAGAUCGUGACCCCGUUGCUCUUUUAAGUUUCUGGCUACGUGCGUGUUAAUUUCUUUCGUUUCCGUUACCAUUCGUGUUUCGAGGCUCUCCUAGCAGCAAACAAGUUGUUGUUGUACAAUAUCUGGCUGAGUUGGUUUUUCUUAACCAGGCCUCGAGUUGCUUCUUCUACCUGCGCCAGUUCGUUCAUAUGGCUCACUUUUUCCUACCGGCGUUUACACGAUAAAGUCUAGGCUGAGGUCUACUGUUUUUCGGUCGGCUCAGAUACAACCGAUGAUUCCUGUUCUUUCACUUCGUUCAUUGAAAGUUCCUAGGUUAGCGGCUCAAACCUUUCCGGUUCGACCUCCUAGGUUUCUUUCCGUUCAAGUGUUGACUGAACGAUAAUUUCAGCCAAGUACUCCUCAAUGUUGGUUGAGAUCCCAACUGAGCCGGUGACUACCUAGAUCACGCUCAGUAUACCAGCCGACCUCUUUCGUAGAGAAUAGACGUCCUAGGUUCAAGCCUCUGUCUGCAACAAGCCGCCUCCGAACUGCCUCGUAAAACU
Molecule: ribosomal RNA, 3138 nt
Filed under: Triticum aestivum (bread wheat)
Lineage: Eukaryota; Viridiplantae; Streptophyta; Magnoliopsida; Poales; Poaceae
Description: partial small subunit ribosomal RNA
Source: RNAcentral